Molecule: ribosomal RNA, 1161 nt
Filed under: uncultured bacterium
Lineage: Bacteria
Description: bacterial SSU rRNA
Rfam family: Bacterial small subunit ribosomal RNA
Source: RNAcentral
GGGUGAUGGUGUCGCGUCCCAUCAGGUAGUAGGCGGGGCAACGGCCCACGUAGCCGACGACGGGUAGCCGACUUGAGAGACCGACCGGCCACAUUGGUCCUGAGAUACGCCCCAGACUCCUACGGGAGGCAGCAGUGGAGAAUUUUGCGCAAUAGGGGCAACCGUGACGCAACAACGCCGCGUUCGGGACGAUGGCCUUUGGAUUAUAAACCUCUUUCAGCAGGGAAGAACCUAUGACGGUACUUGCAGAAGAAGCCCCGGCUAACUACGUGCCAGCAGCCGCGGUAAUACGUAGGUUGCGAGCGUUGUCCUGAUUUAUUGGGUGUAAAGGGCGUGUAGCCGGAGAUGCAAGUUGGGAGUGAAAUCCAUGGGCUCAACCCAUGAACUGCUUCCAAAACUGUAUCCCUUGAGUAUCGGAGAGGCAAGCGGAAUUCUUAGUGUAGCGGUGAAAUGCGUAGAUAUUAGGAGGAACACCAGUGGCGAAGGCGGCUUGCUGGACGACAACUGACGCUGAGGCGUGAAAGCGUGGGGAGCAAACAGGAUUAGAUACCCUGGUAGUCCACGCUGUGAACGAUGAAUAGUAGGUGUGGGAGGACUGGCCCCUUCCGUGCCGCAGUUAACACAAUAAGUAUUCCACUUGGGGAGUGGGACCGCAAGGUUGAAACUCAAAGGAAUUGACGGGGGCCCGCUCAAGCAGUGGAUUAUGUGGUUUAAUUAGAUUCAACGUGAAGAACCUUACCAGGACUUGACAUCCAACUAAUGAAGUAGAGAUACAUCAGGUGCCCUUCGGGGAAAGUUGAGACAGGAGGUGCAUGGUUGUCGUCAGCUCGUGUUGUGAGAUGUGUGGGUUAAGUCCCGCAACGAGCGCAACCCCUAUUGUUAGUUGCUACGAAAGAGCACUCUAGCGAGACUGCCGCCGACAAAACGGAGGAAGGCGGGGACGACGUCAAAUCAUCAUGCCCCUUAUGUCUUGGGCUACACACGUAAUACAAUGGUGGAAAACAGAGGGAAGCAAAGCCGUGAGGCAGAGCAAAACCCUAAAAGCCAUGUCAGUUCGGAUUGCAGGCUGCAACUCGCCUGCAUGAAGCUGGAAUUGAUAGUAAUCGCGGAUCAGAAUGCCGCGGUGAAUACGUUCCCGGCCCUUGCACACACCGCCCGUCA